CCCUUAGAUGUUCUGGGCCGCACGCGCGCUACACUGAAUGGAUCAACGUGUUUUCCCUUCCCGAGAGGGACGGGUAACCCGCUGAACCCCAUUCGUGGUAGGGAUCGGAGCUUGCAAUUGUUCUCCGUGAACCAGGAAUUCCCAGUAAGCGCAAGUCAUAAGCUUGCGUUGAUUACGUCCCUGCCCUUUGUACACACCGCCCGUCGCACCUACCGAUUGAAUGGUCCGGUGAAAUCUCGGGACGGCGGCUUGGUCGCUUGCGUCCGACUGCUGAAACUUGAUUAAACCAUNUNAUUUAGNGGAAGGUGAANUCGUANCA
RNAcentral lists this ribosomal RNA (319 nucleotides) under uncultured eukaryote. RNAcentral's name for it is "partial 18S ribosomal RNA". It matches the Rfam family "Eukaryotic small subunit ribosomal RNA", at positions 1470 to 1796 of the family's 1831-position model. The record is from RNAcentral.